This 424-nucleotide ribosomal RNA is filed under the name uncultured bacterium. Its description in RNAcentral is "partial 16S ribosomal RNA". It matches the Rfam family "Bacterial small subunit ribosomal RNA", at positions 360 to 776 of the family's 1533-position model. The record is from RNAcentral.
AAUUUUCGGCAAUGGAGGAAACUCUGACCGAGCAAUGCCGCGUGAAUGAUGAAGGUCUUCGGAUCGUAAAGUUCUGUUAUCAGGAAAGAACAGUACUAAUAGGAAAUGAUUAGUAUUUGACGUUACCGACAGAAUAAGCACCGGCUAACUUCGUGCCAGCAGCCGCGGUAAUACGAAGGGUGCAAGCGUUAAUCGGAAUUACUGGGCGUAAAGCGCGCGUAGGUGGUUUGUUAAGUUGGAAGUGAAAGCCCCGGGCUCAACCUGGGAACUGCUUUCAAAACUGGCAAGCUAGAGUAUGGCAGAGGGUAGUGGAAUUUCCUGUGUAGCGGUGAAAUGCGUAGAUAUAGGAAGGAACACCAGUGGCGAAGGCGACUACCUGGACUGAUACUGACACUGAGGUGCGAAAGCGUGGGGAGCAAACAGG